This 257-nucleotide ribosomal RNA is filed under the name uncultured bacterium. RNAcentral's name for it is "partial 16S ribosomal RNA". It matches the Rfam family "Bacterial small subunit ribosomal RNA", at positions 524 to 776 of the family's 1533-position model. The record is from RNAcentral.
GACAGAGGCCCCAAGCGUUUAGGCGGAAUCACUGGGCUUAAAGCGUGUGUAGGCGGACGCCUAAGUGUCUUGUGAAAUCCCACGGCUCACCCGUGGAACUGCUGGGCAUACUGGGCGUCUUGGGCCAACUAGGGGCAGCCGGAACAAGCGGUGGAGCGGUGAAAUGCGUAGAUAUCGCUUGGAACGCCGGAAGGUGAAAACAGGCUGCUGGGGUUGCGCCGACGCGUGAGACACGGAAAGCCAGGGGAGCAAACGGG